RNAcentral lists this non-coding RNA (46 nucleotides) under Trichobilharzia regenti. Lineage: Eukaryota; Metazoa; Platyhelminthes; Trematoda; Strigeidida; Schistosomatidae. The record is from RNAcentral.
AUCCAGUUGACGAAGUCCCAAACAGGACUAAAUGCUCAUCCUGGAU